RNAcentral lists this long non-coding RNA (732 nucleotides) under Homo sapiens (human). RNAcentral's name for it is "non-protein coding lnc-PRICKLE1-5:1". The record is from RNAcentral. Lineage: Eukaryota; Metazoa; Chordata; Mammalia; Primates; Hominidae.
CACAAAGACAUUGGUCAUCUCAGAGAACUAUUAAAAUAAUAAGAACCAAUCAAUCUCCAAAAUUAUUGCACUGAAAACCAUUCUCUCAAUGGCUGGGUGGCAUGCUCACUGGGAGAGCUGAGACGUAUGCUUCACGAAUACAGAGCAGUAACUUUGUUUUAGGAUGACAAAAAUCCUGGAUAUCUUUUCUGAGACAUUUGGCAAGUUUUGGGGGUAUAUCACUAGGUACACUGCCAGUAUAAGGGACACCAUAUAGUCCUAUGCCAUGAGCUUCAUUUCCCCCAGCUGCCUCCCACCUGUGCUCCUGGUUGGGACCCUGGCAUCUUUGCCAAGGAACUUAGUUACCAUCGUCAUUGAAAACACUGAGUUCACGUUGCAGAUGCUGAUGAGCAUAGGCCAACCAGGAAACGAUAUCUUCUUUGGGGUUGCAGAUGCCGUGAAAGACACAGAAGCCCUUAAUGGAUUAAUGAGCAAAUGCAAGCUCUAUGUCCAUGCAAACAACUAUCUCCACAGUUCUAUGUUGAGAAGAGCUUUUGCAUCUUGCCUCAACCCAUUAUGCAGAGCAGGUGAUAAAUAAUUUCCUCAAAAACAGGCAUGCCACAUGGAAGCAGAUUGGGUUGUACACUCAGAUGAUGACAACUUUUGCAGGAAAUCCCCGCAUUUGGAAGUUAACAAUUAUGAGGAAAAUUUUACUUCAGUAACACGAGCAGAGUGGUCUCUAUUCAAGCCUAA